CCUUCUUUCAUAUUCAUUCAUCCAUCUUCCCGUCCACCUUCUCCGAACAAUUGUUUCAUACAAAGAAGAUAUCCAUGGUACAAAUGCUCUACUUAUUACUUAAGUCACGUGACACUGGUUUAGUUGGAAAAUUGUUUUGCUCAGUGAGUUGAUGUAGUUGUGUUCGUCGCGUAUUAACGUUUUUCUAAGUGAUUCUUAUCAGUGAUUUAUGCCAUUUGGUUAAAUCAGGAGUUGUUUGUCACGAAAGCACUGGAGCUGCUUCGUUUACUUGUGUCAUGUGAGCAUUGAACUUCUCACUGAAAUGAUGGGGGAUACCAUUAAUUAGCCAACAGUGAAUACUUUCUGGCAGAGCUAACUUCAACAGCCUUCGAUGAAUUUUUUAAAUUCAUCUGACCAUUUUGGAACCUGUAGUGUUGUUCUUGGGACGAUUAAACACUGACAGAAAGCAUCGAUGAGGUACGAAUAUUGUCUUUGUGUAUAUCCUAUUCAUUAAUCUUUUUCUUCUUCUUUGCCUU
Long non-coding RNA from Macrobrachium nipponense, 515 nucleotides. RefSeq lists it as uncharacterized. The record is from RefSeq and is a predicted model, not a curated record. Lineage: Eukaryota; Metazoa; Arthropoda; Malacostraca; Decapoda; Palaemonidae. The transcript has 3 exons.